Molecule: ribosomal RNA, 1390 nt
Filed under: Streptomyces sp. NRRL S-474
Lineage: Bacteria; Bacillati; Actinomycetota; Actinomycetes; Kitasatosporales; Streptomycetaceae
Description: bacterial LSU rRNA
Rfam family: Bacterial large subunit ribosomal RNA
Source: RNAcentral
UGAGACCUGAUGCCGAGCCGAUUGUGGUGAAGUGGAUGAUCCUAUGCUGUCGAGAAAAGCCUCUAGCGAGUUUCAUGGCGGCCCGUACCCUAAACCGACUCAGGUGGUCAGGUAGAGAAUACCGAGGCGUUCGGGUGAACUAUGGUUAAGGAACUCGGCAAAAUGCCCCCGUAACUUCGGGAGAAGGGGGGCCACAUCCGGUGACGGCACUUGCUGCCUGAGCUGGGGGUGGCCGCAGAGACCAGCGAGAAGCGACUGUUUACUAAAAACACAGGUCCGUGCGAAGCCGUAAGGCGAUGUAUACGGACUGACGCCUGCCCGGUGCUGGAACGUUAAGGGGACCGGUUAGCUCUGAUUCGUCAGGGCGAAGCUGAGAACUUAAGCGCCAGUAAACGGCGGUGGUAACUAUAACCAUCCUAAGGUAGCGAAAUUCCUUGUCGGGUAAGUUCCGACCUGCACGAAUGGCGUAACGACUUCUCGACUGUCUCAACCAUAGGCCCGGUGAAAUUGCACUACGAGUAAAGAUGCUCGUUUCGCGCAGCAGGACGGAAAGACCCCGGGACCUUUACUACAGUUUGAUAUUGGUGUUCGGUUCGGCUUGUGUAGGAUAGCUGGGAGACUGUGAAGUCCACACGCCAGUGUGGGUGGAGUCGUCGUUGAAAUACCAGUCUGGUCGUGCUGGAUGUCUAACCUGGGUCCGUGAUCCGGAUCAGGGACAGUGUCUGAUGGGUAGUUUAACUGGGGCGGUUGCCUCCUAAAGGGUAACGGAGGCGCCCAAAGGUUCCCUCAGCCUGGUUGGCAAUCAGGUGUUGAGUGUAAGUGCACAAGGGAGCUUGACUGUGAGACCGACGGGUCGAGCAGGGACGAAAGUCGGGACUAGUGAUCCGGCGGUGGCUUGUGGAAGCGCCGUCGCUCAACGGAUAAAAGGUACCCCGGGGAUAACAGGCUGAUCUUCCCCAAGAGUCCAUAUCGACGGGAUGGUUUGGCACCUCGAUGUCGGCUCGUCGCAUCCUGGGGCUGGAGUCGGUCCCAAGGGUUGGGCUGUUCGCCCAUUAAAGCGGUACGCGAGCUGGGUUUAGAACGUCGUGAGACAGUUCGGUCCCUAUCCGCUGUGCGCGUAGGAGUCUUGAGAAGGGCUGUCCCUAGUACGAGAGGACCGGGACGGACGAACCUCUGGUGUGCCAGUUGUUCUGCCAAGGGCAUGGCUGGUUGGCUACGUUCGGGAGGGAUAACCGCUGAAAGCAUCUAAGCGGGAAGCCUGCUUCGAGAUGAGGACUCCCACCUCCUAGAGAGGGUAAGGCUCCCAGUAGACGACUGGGUUGAUAGGCCGGAUAUGGAAGCACGGUAACGUGUGGAGUUGACCGGUACUAAUAGGCCGAGGGCUUGUCCU